CCUACGGGCGGCAGCAGUCGAGAAUCAUUCACAAUGGGGGAAACCCUGAUGGUGCGACGCCGCGUGGGGGAAUGAAGGUCUUCGGAUUGUAAACCCCUGUCAUGUGGGAGCAAAUUAAAAAGAUAGUACCACAAGAGGAAGAGACGGCUAACUCUGUGCCAGCAGCCGCGGUAAUACAGAGGUCUCAAGCGUUGUUCGGAAUCACUGGGCGUAAAGGGUGCGUAGGCUGUUUCGUAAGUCGUGUGUGAAAGGCGCGGGCUCAACCGGCGGACGGCACAUGAUACUGCGAGACUAGAGUAAUGGAGGGGGAACCGGAAUUCUCGGUGUAGCAGUGAAAUGCGUAGAUAUCGAGAGGAACACUCGUGGCGAAGGCGGGUUCCUGGACAUUAACUGACGCUGAGGCACGAAGGCCAGGGGAGCGAAAGGGAUUAGAUACCCUGGUAGUC
Molecule: ribosomal RNA, 446 nt
Filed under: uncultured bacterium
Lineage: Bacteria
Description: partial 16S ribosomal RNA
Rfam family: Bacterial small subunit ribosomal RNA
Source: RNAcentral